This 774-nucleotide ribosomal RNA is filed under the name uncultured bacterium. RNAcentral describes it as "bacterial SSU rRNA". It matches the Rfam family "Bacterial small subunit ribosomal RNA", at positions 62 to 816 of the family's 1533-position model. The record is from RNAcentral.
UCGAACGCGAAAGUCCCGCAAGGGAUCAGUAGAGUGGCAAACGGGUGAGUAACGCGUGGGUGACCUGCCUUCGAGCGGGGGAUAACGUUCCGAAAGGGGCGCUAAUACCGCAUAACAUCCUGCCUUUGAACAGGUGGAGAUCAAAGCUGGGGAUCGCAAGACCUAGCGCUGGAAGAGGGGCCCGCGCCUGAUUAGCUAGUUGGUGGGGUAACGGCUCACCAAGGCAACGAUCAGUAUCCGGCCUGAGAGGGCGGACGGACACACUGGGACUGAGACACGGCCCAGACUCCUACGGGAGGCAGCAGUGGGGAAUUGUUCGCAAUGGGCGCAAGCCUGACGACGCAACGCCGCGUGGAGGAUGAAGACCUUCGGGUCGUAAACUCCUUUCGAUCGAGACGAAUGGCCUCCGGGUGAACAAUCCGGAGGAGUGACGGUACCGAGAGAAGAAGCCCCGGCUAACUCCGUGCCAGCAGCCGCGGUAAUACGGGGGGGGCAAGCGUUGUUCGGAAUUACUGGGCGUAAAGGGCUCGUAGGUGGCCGACUAAGUCAGACGUGAAAUCCCUCGGCUUAACCGGGGAACUGCGUCUGAUACUGGAUGGCUCGAGUUCGGGAGAGGGAUGCGGAAUUCCAGGUGUAGCGGUGGAAUGCGUAGAUAUCUGGAGGAACACCGGUGGCGAAGGCGGCAUCCUGGACCGACACUGACACUGAGGAGCGAAAGCCAGGGGAGCAAACGGGAUUAGAUACCCCGGUAGUCCUGGCCUAAACGAUGAAUGC